GACGAACGCUGGCGGCGUGCUUAAUACAUGCAAGUCGAACGGAAAGGCCCUGCUUUUGUUGGGUGCUCGAGUGGCUAACGGUUGAGUAACACGUGAGUAACCUUCCGUUGACUUUGGGAUAACGGCAGGUAACUGGGGCUAAUACCGGAUAGUAGCUCCUGCUGCAUGGUGUGGGUUGGAAAGUUUCGGCGGUUGGGGAUGGACUCGCGGCUUAUGAGCUUGUUGGUGGGGUAGUGGCUUACCAAGGCUUUGACGGGUAGCCGGCCUGAGAGGGUGACCGGCCACAUUGGGACUGAGAUACGGCCCAGACUCCUACGGGAGGCAGCAGUGGGGAAUAUUGCACAAUGGGCGGAAGCCUGAUGCAGCAACGCCGCGUGCGGGAUGACGGCCUUCGGGUUGUAAACCGCUUUCGCCUGUGACGAAGCGUGAGUGACGGUAAUGGGUAAAGAAGCACCGGCUAACUACGUG
RNAcentral lists this ribosomal RNA (468 nucleotides) under uncultured bacterium. RNAcentral describes it as "partial 16S ribosomal RNA". It matches the Rfam family "Bacterial small subunit ribosomal RNA", at positions 28 to 507 of the family's 1533-position model. The record is from RNAcentral.